GAUGAACGCUGGCGGCGUGCCUAAUACAUGCAAGUCGAGCGAACAGACGAGGAGCUUGCUCCUCUGACGUUAGCGGCGGACGGGUGAGUAACACGUGGAUAACCUACCUAUAAGACUGGGAUAACUUCGGGAAACCGGAGCUAAUACCGGAGAAUAUAUUGAACCGCAUGGUUCAAUAGUGAAAGACGGUUUUGCUGGCACUUAUAGAUGGAUCCGCGCCGCAUUAGCUAGUUGGUAAGGUCACAGCUUACCAAGGCAACGAGGCGUAGCCGACCGGAGAGGGGGAUCGGCCACACUGGAACUGAGACACGGUCCAGACUCCUACGGGAGGCAGCAGUAGGGAAUCUGCCGCAAUGGGCGAAAGCCUGACGGAGCAACGCCGCGUGAGUGAUGAAGGUCUUCGGAUCGUAAAACUCUGUUAUUAGGGAAGAACAAAUGUGUAAGUAACUAUGCACGUCUUGACGGUACCUAAUCAGAAAGCCACGGCUAACUACGUG
Molecule: ribosomal RNA, 497 nt
Filed under: uncultured bacterium
Lineage: Bacteria
Description: partial 16S ribosomal RNA
Rfam family: Bacterial small subunit ribosomal RNA
Source: RNAcentral